UAGGGUUAGGGCUUUCUUCCAGUGGUGGUCCAUCACCGGAAUCAAAUCCAGCGGCGAUGAUUUGAUCUUCGAGGUCGGUAUGGUCUCCGCUAAGUACCCCUCCAACAACUUCGGCGAGAGUCCCGACUGCGAGGGCAAGCGUGCUUCUUCUUGACCUCUCCACAUGUUUUUCAGGUGUUGAUGAUAUACCUCCGCCAAGGCAAUAGCUUGGUAGGACUUGGAGCAAGGGCUUCGUUUUGUUUGAUUGUUGUAUAUGUUUUGUACAGGCCAAGGGCCUUUAGCUGUAUUGGAUAUAAAUCUACUUUUUUUGUAACCAAUAAUCAUCUUGAAAAGUUAUAAACCUUUAGGGUAUUUAUUAUUUGCUUGAUGUUCAUUUUAUUAUGUAACAUAUGCUAUAGAUUCAGGGAUAGGCUUGUGAAUGCAUAUCUGCAUAUGUUACUCUUUUGUAAACUUACUUGGAAAGUGAUGAAAGAUAAGUACUUUAUCAUUGUUGUUA
This is a non-coding RNA of Camellia sinensis, 496 nucleotides long. NCBI's taxonomy places the organism in Eukaryota, Viridiplantae, Streptophyta, Magnoliopsida, Ericales, Theaceae. The record is from RefSeq and is a predicted model, not a curated record.